AACGCACCUUGCGCUCCUUGGUAUUCCGAGGAGCAUGCCUGUUUGAGUGUCAUGAAAUUCUCAACUGCUCUAGUCUGUUUUCUGACUAAAGUGAGGUUGGAUUUGGAGGGAAUAUUGCUGGCGCAGAGUUUGCUUGUCAGCUCCUCUUAAAUGAAUGUGCUUUCUUGUGCAAAGUAACACCAAUGUGAUAAUUAUCUACAUUGGAUGUAAAAGCUUUUUGAAAGCAGUGUCAAUAAAUGAUAAAUUUGGCCUCAAAUCAGGUAGGACUACCCGCUGAACUUAA
Molecule: unclassified non-coding RNA, 283 nt
Filed under: uncultured fungus
Lineage: Eukaryota; Fungi
Description: sequence contains ITS2
Rfam family: 5.8S ribosomal RNA (bases 1-52)
Source: RNAcentral